UACGGAGGGGGCUAGCGUUGUUCGGAAUUACUGGGCGUAAAGCGCACGUAGGCGGAUCAGCAAGUUAGGGGUGAAAUCCCGGGGCUCAACCCCGGAACUGCCUUUAAGACUGUUGGUCUGGAGGUCGAGAGAGGUGAGUGGAAUUCCGAGUGUAGAGGUGAAAUUCGUAGAUAUCCGGAGGAACACCAGUGGCGAAGGCGACUUCCUGGCCUGUUCUUGACGCUGAGGCGCGAAAGCUGGGGGAGCAAACGGG
This 253-nucleotide ribosomal RNA is filed under the name uncultured bacterium. Its description in RNAcentral is "partial 16S ribosomal RNA". It matches the Rfam family "Bacterial small subunit ribosomal RNA", at positions 524 to 776 of the family's 1533-position model. The record is from RNAcentral.